CCUACGGGAGGCAGCAGUGGGGAAUAUUGGACAAUGGGCGAAAGCCUGAUCCAGCAAUGCCGCGUGAGUGAUGAAGGCCUUAGGGUUGUAAAGCUCUUUUACCAGGGAUGAUAAUGACAGUACCUGGAGAAUAAGCUCCGGCUAACUCCGUGCCAGCAGCCGCGGUAAUACGGAGGGAGCUAGCGUUGUUCGGAAUUACUGGGCGUAAAGCGUACGUAGGCGGUUAUUCAAGUCAGAGGUGAAAGCCUGGAGCUCAACUCCAGAACUGCCUUUGAAACUAGAUAGCUAGAAUCUUGGAGAGGUGAGUGGAAUUCCGAGUGUAGAGGUGAAAUUCGUAGAUAUUCGGAAGAACACCAGUGGCGAAGGCGACUCACUGGACAAGUAUUGACGCUGAGGUACGAAAGCGUGGGGAGCAAACAGGAUUAGAUACCCUGGUAGUCCACGCCGUAAACGAUGAUAACUAGCUGUUCGGGCUCCACGAGCUUGUGUGCGCNGACUACGACAUAAGUUACGUCCGUCCGUGGGAGGUACGGUCGCGAGAGUAAACUACGUAAGAAGUUAGUAGNGUUGAGAGNGCGAGGCGACGACGAGGGAGAGG
This 598-nucleotide ribosomal RNA is filed under the name uncultured bacterium. Its description in RNAcentral is "bacterial SSU rRNA". The stretch from base 1 to 519 matches the Rfam family "Bacterial small subunit ribosomal RNA", at positions 338 to 873 of the family's 1533-position model. The record is from RNAcentral.